CCUUAUUCCACAACAGACGAGGAGGAUUGGAGUGCAGCCUGACUUUUCACUAUAGAGCAGUAAAAUGAGUGUCAACACUCACACAAUCCUAGAAUUAUUCUCUAACAAUACGGCACCAGUUGCAGAAUGAGUCUUAUAUUAACCAAGAUUCUGGAUGUGAAGCUGCUGUUUAACAAGUUAAGUAGGUAAUAAGUUUUACAAAGCUCAACUUCUUAACUACCUCUUGCAUUCAAAACAGAAUAUUUUAAAUUGGAGUUAGGUAAAUUGUAGGCCUGCACAAUAUGAGGAAAAUAUGUGCUAACGUUAAAUAUAGCAAUAAAAAUAUUACUUGUGAUAAAUAAUAUUAAAGUGUACUCAGUUUUGCCUUUCUGCUGCUUUUAUGUAUUGUGCUAAAAUACAGCAAAUAUCUUGUUGAAUUAAAAAACCCGAGGCACCAAUAA
This is a long non-coding RNA of Etheostoma spectabile (orangethroat darter), 440 nucleotides long. RefSeq lists it as uncharacterized. The record is from RefSeq and is a predicted model, not a curated record. NCBI's taxonomy places the organism in Eukaryota, Metazoa, Chordata, Actinopteri, Perciformes, Percidae. The transcript has 2 exons.